This 515-nucleotide ribosomal RNA is filed under the name Tagiades tethys. Its description in RNAcentral is "Daimio tethys partial 16S ribosomal RNA". The stretch from base 389 to 515 matches the Rfam family "Bacterial large subunit ribosomal RNA", at positions 2473 to 2600 of the family's 2925-position model. Lineage: Eukaryota; Metazoa; Arthropoda; Insecta; Lepidoptera; Hesperiidae. The record is from RNAcentral.
GUCUUUUUGAUAAUAAUUUAAAGUCUAAUCUGCCCCCUGAUUGAAUUAUUAAAGGGCUGCAGUAUAUUGACUGUACAAAGGUAGCAUAAUCAUUAGUCUUUUAAUUGGAGACUUGGAUGAAGGAUUUGAUGAGAUAUAAACUGUCUUUUUUUUAAAUUUAGAAAUUAAUUUUUUAGUUAAAAAGCUAAAAUUUAUUUAAAAGACGAGAAGACCCUAUAGAGUUUUAUUAAAUGAUUAAUUAUUAAAAUUAUAUAAAUUUUUAAUUAAAAAUUAAUUUUUUAAUUUUGUUGGGGUGAUAGAAAAAUUUAAUAAACUUUUUUUAUUUAAUUCCAUUAAUUUAUGAAUUUUUGAUCCAUAAUUUAUGAUUAUAAGAAAAAAUUACCUUAGGGAUAACAGCGUAAUUUUUUUUUUUAGUUCAAAUAAAAAGAAGAGUUUGCGACCUCGAUGUUGGAUUAAGAUAAAAUUUAAAUGCAGAAGUUUAAUAUUUUGAUCUGUUCGAUCAUUAAAAUCUUACA